RNAcentral lists this unclassified non-coding RNA (4264 nucleotides) under Harpegnathos saltator (Jerdon's jumping ant). Its description in RNAcentral is "cyclin-dependent kinase 12, transcript variant X3". The record is from RNAcentral. Lineage: Eukaryota; Metazoa; Arthropoda; Insecta; Hymenoptera; Formicidae.
ACACGAUGAUGACGUGCUAAUGGUUAAUGGCUUCCACUCGGUCGAGCUAGCUUUUAUGAGCGAGCUACAUUCAAUCCAAAGAAAACACAUGAGAUAUGAUGCGAUCGACUGCUAAAAUCAUAAAAAUAUGAUUGUCUGAGAGCCGUAAAGUCACGAUAGCAUUAAAUUUCUGACCAGACGCACCACGUUCAUCUGCGAAUUAUGUGCUGAAAAUCUCGGGUCUGCACGAAGGAAGCAACGACGGGACGACGUAACCACCGUUACGCACCUCUCAUCGAUCCUACGUGCUGGUUUCGGCCCUGAUGCGAAGGACACCGUUACUUGCCGCGACUUUGCAGGACACAAAUCGCACUAGGUGACAUGCCUCGAGAGGUUGAUCAUAAUGGGAGAUUUCGCUCGCGCAGACGAGGCAGCACAGGUAGCGAUGUGAACCGGCACAGCUUUGAGAGCAAUGAUAAGAGACAUCGCAGACAUGGCAAAAGUAAGAGCUCUGGCAAGAAAAAGAAGAAACGUUCGCGCGACAAGUCUGUAGAAAACGUGCCAACUGUUGCAUCGUCUAUUAUUAAACCUCUGGUGGAGUAUUCAGAUGUGAGUAGUGAAGAUCUGUCUGAGCCUGAAGCCGGAGAAAUACAGUCGGAGGACAGUCGUGGCAAUAGUUACACAGAUGGUGAAGUACCUGAGCCACUCCUUCAAAGGCGAUAUUAUGGUGGCAGUCCUGUUCGCCCUCUCGGAAUAUCGCCGAUCAGCUUGUCACCGUCUCCGCCGCCUUCACAUCGGCAUUCUGGUAGGCAUUAUUCACCGAAUGAACAACAACAACAGCCGACUACGAUACACGGUGCAACAUCCGAGUAUGAGGAGGAAUCGAGGCGAUACGCUCGACGAAAGGAGAAAAAGCAUAAGCGGGAAAAGAAGAAAAAGAAGAGCCUCAGUCCUUCGUCUAAUUCUAGCAAGAAGAAGAAAAGAAAGACCAAGAGGCAUUCUCACAGUGUAAGUCCUCAUGGAAACGUGAUGGUGACUGAGGAGAUCGUCGCAAGCCCGGAGCGUGAGAAAACAGGCACUAAUUGGUCGGAAUCGCCACCAUUGCCGCUGAAAGAUAACAUGUCGCCAAUCUCACCAGCGACGCCGCAUGAGCAAAGAUGUCUCAGCGACGUGGAAAUAGAGAUGUCGAGGCAGCCGCGAAAUAUUACGCCGCCUCUUUUACCGUCAAUGCGGCAAACAGAAUCACCACAUACUCCAUUACUACCUCCGCGCGCUAUGACGCCGGAAAGUAACAAAGUCUCACUGAAGCACAGUCCUGAUCGUGGACGGGACAAACGUAGUCCCAGCAUUCACGCACGACGUAGCAGUGGCAGCCCAGGACCAGCCGCGAUUGGUUCCGGCCGUAGAAGGCCCCAUAGCCCAAGCCCGCCGUCGAGACGAAGGGACCAUAGUCCGCCACGAAGAAGAGAAUUCAGUCCUGUGCCAGUCCUUCAUAAUAGACUCAGGCAUAGUCCGAGUCCUGCUACGGUCAGACGACGCGAAUUCAGCCCCAGCCCUGUGAGUCACAGACGACGAACAGAAACAAUGAACUCUCCACCUUCUAAACGUAGAAGACGAGAGGAUUCUGAUCGACGUCACAGACAUCAUGAAAAAGACAGGAGGGAUAAGCGAAAAUCGAGAUCCACUAGAAGCCCAAGCAGAUUACACGUACCUCUUUCCCGAUCACGAUCUCGCAGUCCUGGCAGAUGGCGAAAGCUCUCUCGCUCGAGGUCGCAUUCACGCAGAAGAAGUCGCACCCCGAAGAAAUCGCGCUCGCCCAGCAAGACCCAUAAGUCGUCAAGGAAACAUAAAUCAAAGAGCCCUCGUCCGAGAAUACCCUCUCCUUCUCCUCACAGGUCUAGGGCCAGAAGCCCAUCGAGCAUCACUGCUCGAAAUCUUAGAGUACAAGCGAAAAUCAGCGAAACUAGCUUGUUCGCGGAGCUCGUGAAGGACCGGAAUAUGAGGGAACUCGCGUACAAAAAGCUACAGGCUGCGAAGGAGAAGGCCGUCAACCAAGAUGAGGUGCAAAUCAUAGAGGGCACAGAAGAGAAGGACAGCAGCAACGCGUCCACUGAGAACAAAGCUUCCAUUGACAAUAAGGACAAACCUGUGAAUAACAAGGACCAGCUCGUCAAACUUGGCGGCGAAAGCACAGCAAAGUGCGUCGACAUCGUCGACAUUCCCGUGCCGACGAGCGACGACAGCGGUCUGUCUGGCAAAACGCCGCCGUUACCGGCUAACCAGCCGACGAUACCACCAGCUUCGACAUCUGCAGCGAAUUUGACUCCUCACGCGAUUGCAAAUACCUCACCCACCGUGUCCGCAGUAUCCAAUAAUUGCCCGGUCGCCGUCUCCCAGAGUCCGAACUUCCCUGCGCACACAAGUGUACAGCAACCGCCCCCACCGCCACCACUGCCGCAAUCCGAGUCCACGUCGACAGUAUUGCCACCAGUGUCUUUGCCUGUUUCGGCUAUGUCUGUGCCAAUUCCACCGGCACCAGUCUUACCGAACAUGUCUGUUCCACCGCCACCUAUCCCAAUUCCAGUACCGGCGCCGAACACGAUCAUGUCUAAGUUCAAUGCUCCGAAUAAUCUGGUUCCUCUGAAAUCGGUGGAUCCGCCUAAGCCUCCCAUAGUAGCCUUCAAAACGAAGAGUCUUUCGAGAUUGCCAUUACCACCUGGAAUCAAUCAGAACGAUUUGGAGAGCAUCGAUUCCCCGCCGAGUCGUUCUCCAAGUCCGCCCAGUAAGACGCAGGUAAAGUUCCCAACUUCGACACCAAAACUGCCGCAGAAGAAGAGCAUCAAAGAUCUACCGAUGCCACCAGUCGUACCCGGAUCAGAAGAUUUGAGCGGCGAGGACGACCCGAACGCGACUCCACCGCGUUUAAAGAUGGAACGAAUGGCACCGAAACCGAAACUGAAGAGACCAAAAAUACUGAAGCGACGCGGAUCGCGAAACUGUCAUACUCCUACGUUAGCCUCCGGCGGCAAAGAUUGGGGUGAACGCUGCGUGGACGUGUUUGAAUUCAUCACACAGAUCGGAGAGGGUACUUACGGACAAGUAUACAAAGCGCGAGAUAAGAGGUCCAGCGCGCUUGUAGCCUUGAAGAAAGUUCGGUUGGAGAAUGAGAAAGAGGGCUUCCCCAUUACAGCAGUUAGAGAGAUAAAGAUCUUACGACAACUCAAUCACAAGAACAUUGUUAAUCUUAGGGAAGUUGUCACUGACAAACAGGACGCACUGGAUUUCCGAAAGGAUAAAGGUUCCUUUUAUCUAGUUUUCGAGUAUAUGGAUCAUGAUCUAAUGGGUCUUUUGGAAUCCGGUAUGGUGGAUUUUAAUGAGAUGAAUAACGCCAGUAUCAUGAAGCAGCUCUUGGAUGGUUUGAAUUACUGUCAUAGCAAGAAUUUUCUGCACAGAGACAUCAAAUGUUCGAACAUAUUGAUGAAUAACAAAGGGGAGGUUAAACUGGCUGAUUUCGGAUUGGCGCGACUUUAUAACGCAGAAGAUCGACAGAGACCGUAUACCAACAAAGUGAUUACUUUAUGGUACAGACCUCCUGAACUUUUGUUGGGAGAGGAACGUUAUGGACCUGCGAUUGAUGUGUGGAGCUGUGGAUGUAUAUUGGGAGAAUUGUUUUGGAAAAAACCUUUAUUCCAGGCCAAUGUAGAUAUGAUGCAGCUGGAAUUGAUUUCGAGAGUUUGUGGUACACCUACUCCAGCUGUCUGGCCUUCUGUGAUAAAAUUGCCACAUUGGCAUACACUUAAGCCAAAAAAGUCGCAUAGGAGACGUUUGAGGGAGGAUUUCUCAUUUAUGCCAGGGCCAGCUUUGGACCUUCUGGAUAAAAUGUUGGAAUUAGAUCCUGAGAAACGGAUAACAGCAGCAGACGCACUCAAAAGUGCUUGGUUGAAGAACGUUCAACCCGAACAAAUGCCAGCGCCGCAGCUUCCUACCUGGCAGGAUUGUCAUGAGCUUUGGUGGAAAAAGCGAAAACGCUUGUUACGGGAACAGCAAGAUAAUGCUACCACCAAGAUGCCUCUUCUUCCGUUCCCAAAUAAAGGAGGCCCUCACAAGGAUGAUCUGUCAGAUGUCGGGGGGUAAUCGUAUCUCCAAAGAAGCCAUCCAACAGACAACAUAUGGAAAUUACUUGGAAAUUACUUGUUUACCAACGUGCUCUAUGGAGAUAAUAUAAUAGAGGCUGAAUUGUAUAGAUGGACAAAUUUUGUAGCACUUGUAAGAAUAUAUAAUAGGU